UGCCAGACUCCUACGGGAGGCAGCAGUGGGGAAUAUUGCACAAUGGGGGGAACCCUGAUGCAGCGACGCCGCGUGAGUGAAGAAGUAUUUCGGUAUGUAAAGCUCUAUCAGCAGGGAAGAAAAUGACGGUACCUGACUAAGAAGCCCCGGCUAACUACGUGCCAGCAGCCGCGGUAAUACGUAGGGGGCAAGCGUUAUCCGGAUUUACUGGGUGUAAAGGGAGCGCAGACGGCUGUGCAAGUCUGGAGUGAAAGGCGGGGGCCCAACCCCCGGACUGCUCUGGAAACUGUAAAGCUGGAGUGCAGGAGAGGUAAGCGGAAUUCCUAGUGUAGCGGUGAAAUGCGUAGAUAUUAGGAGGAACACCAGUGGCGAAGGCGGCUUACUGGACUGCAACUGACGUUGAGGCUCGAAAGCGUGGGGAGCAAACAGGAUUAGAUACCCUUGUACG
Molecule: ribosomal RNA, 448 nt
Filed under: uncultured bacterium
Lineage: Bacteria
Description: bacterial SSU rRNA
Rfam family: Bacterial small subunit ribosomal RNA
Source: RNAcentral